Molecule: long non-coding RNA, 3123 nt
Organism: Coregonus clupeaformis (lake whitefish)
Lineage: Eukaryota; Metazoa; Chordata; Actinopteri; Salmoniformes; Salmonidae
Exons: 4
Source: RefSeq, a predicted model, not a curated record
GAUACUUGCCAGCGCUCUCAACCAGAAUCUGGUGGAGUUUGAGCUAAAACCAGGAGCAAGAGUAAUCGUUUACAUCACACAGCUAACUUUGGCACCCUUGGUGGAUUCCAGCCCGAGACACAGCAGUUCAGUCAUGCUGAUGCUCCUAUCAGUAGUAUUCCUGGGUUUAGCAGUGUUUCUCAUCUACAAAUUCAAGAGCUCACUGUACGCAGAGGUGAACCAGGAGAAAGAGCAGGAGAUGAUCGGUUCGGUCAGCCAGAAUGACAGCACGCCUAAAUCACCCUCAGUGAGAAGGAGAUGGACGCCAGGGUUAAACGGCGAAUUGGAAAUGCCUGCGAGAGCACAAGGGAGAUUCCUAACUGUACUAGCGUGUAAAGCCGAGGAAGGAAUGCAACAAAUGUAUACAGACUUAAAGUAUUGCCAUUUUGAGGGUUUUCUCUUUUUUGGUUUAUUUUGUAAUUUCUCAAACACAACCCCAAUGUUAACAGUUUUCUAAGGACCUCAUUUAUUCUGAUGUGCAUGGGUGUCUUGUUUGAUAGCAUCUAUGCGGCAAAUUUGAAAUCCACUCAAUUAGACAAGUUUUAAUUACAAGUAUGAGAUACUUAGGCCUACUGUUACACAAUUUGGAUUACAAAAAAAGUGUUAAUUUUCAGUCCAUAAUUGUCUUAUUUAAUGGACAUUUAUCAAAGCCUUUAUCAAAACCUACGAAGAGAGGUAUGUACAUUUGUUAAGGUUUUACUUUUCAUGAGGUAUAAGAGUUUUGUCUGUAUGGGCCAACAUGUCUAGGUCUCCGAUCUAACAGGGAAUAUUAUUGAAAAUGUACCAUAUUAUCUUUAGAUAUCUGUUAUCGCUCUGUAUAAACUAUUUGUAUAUUUACUUUCCACAUGCUUGUAGUAAAAGUACAAUGCCGAACACAGGAGAUCUAGUCAUGGCGUGUUAUCAGUUCUUGAAAAUGUGUUAAAAAAGCAAGAUGUUAUUUAUAGAAAGAGUCCAACUUCAUUUGUUUUUAAUGAGGUCCUUGACUCAUGCAUGGUAUUAUUAAGGACACUAUGUAUAUGUUGUAGAUAAGCAAGUGUUGUAAAUAGUUAUUUUCUAUUCAUCAGAAGAGCUCACUAAUUUUUACAUACAGUAUAUAUACAGACUUGCAUAUCCAUCAUUUUGUUAAUUUAUGGCUAUACAAUACAUCUGUCUUGUACAAAGGGUUUAACUGUUAAGAUGGGAAUCAUUUUUAAAUAUUAAACCAGGUUUACACAACGCCACCCCUGCUUGAAAUGAAAUAAAACACAGAAUUGGUGGUAAUUUCUACAUGCAUCAUUGGUUAAACUCUUUGUAACAGACGACACUUUCCAUAAGCAUCAUGGGAUUAUUUCUAUUGUUUGCCCUUUGAAUGUAACGAGAAAUGGAAUCAGCCAUUUAUGAUCUGUGGAUAUAAUUUGUGUCUGAUUCAUCAAGAUGAUCACAUAUUGUUGUACAUGUCAAUUCAACACAUUUCAUCAGCUUCAUUUAGAAGUUAGAAACCAACUGUUAAGUCAAGUUCCACCACUUGAAUUCCCUAACGUAGUGAAAUACUGUACACACAACAGUGUGCAUGCUAGCUAGUAGCUAGUUUCCUCCACUACACUGCUGUGCAAUGCAGUCCUCCGAAAGCUGUCAUCAGCAGGAGUAGAAGCAGGAGCACCAGUCAGCCAGUCAGCAGCUUGAAGGCACGCACAUUUCCCCUGGCAGCAGGUGUAGCCAGUCUGGCUGUAAACAGAGAUGGGUGGAUGGUUAAGCACUGAAUGCACCAUGCCGAGCUAUCCCAGAAUGCCGUUCCUGGAGUCGGCACGUAAUGACACACAGGAGAGUGAGAGGACAGAAGGACAGGGAUGUUUAGAGAAUGUUGCACAAGUGUAUGACAGGAAAGUGUUUCCCAUGAUAGUGUACAUAAGUGUGUGUUCAGUAGUAAAGGAAAGAGGUGGAGCUUCUGUAUCUGUAUUCCCUUGUUACAUUGUAACAAGAGUGGUGUUACAUUCUAAUAAGAGUGUUAUAGCAGUUGUCAUUGCAAGCCGUUGCUGUAGCGACAUCUAACGUUGUUAUGAUGCAUGAAACUCCAUCCACAGAGGCAGUUUUUUCCGCUCCGGUUCCAUUCUUCAAUGACACGACCUAGCAAAGCAACACUUUGUUUUGUUGAACGAUAAUUGCAUCAUCCUCACUAUUUGGUUUGUUGUUGACAACUCAUUUUGAUGUUCUCAAUGUCACCCCUGCUUUGUUCAAAUACUUAUUAAAAAGAAAGAUUAACAGAGUUACAGAUAACGGGAACAUGGAAGUGUUUCUUCUUUGUGUCAUCUCUGCCACCACCAGUUCCUAAGGCGACUCCUCCACUGCCUCCACUGCCUCCACUGGUAGACAAAGCUGAACUAGCUGACCUAGGUCACUGAGAGUUCAUCCACAUGUAUAAUUCCUUUUAUUUCUCCUGAAUUUCUUCGGAAAGACAUUCCUUCGGCAUGUAAGACCAUUAUAUCGGUGGAGUACAACCAUUCAUCCCAUGAGCCUCGAAGCUCCUUUCGCCUUAUGAGCAGGAAACAUGCGUUGGCAUUUUAGCCUUGGUCGUCGAUCAUUCAAAAGUGAUAAGAUCUUCAGACAUCCUUCAGAGGCAACACUGACUCUGAAAAUACAUUUUCUUGUACAGCUGCAGGUUUGUAGGGAAAGUAUUUGGUUUUGUUAUAUUUGUUACAGUUUGUGUGCUUAUUUAAUGGUGUAGAUAUUUUGCUCCGCAAUGUUUGUUUGAAUAGUUUUCUCUUGUGUUCAUUGCUUUACAUCAAAUUCUAUUGAGCUGGUUUGAUUACUUUUUCGUACAAAUGUUGAACACCUAUUAUAAUACUAUAUAUGAAAUCUGAAAGGGAAUCAAGGUUGUAAAAUUGGAAAUCUUAGCUUACUAAGAUGCGGUAAAGAGGUCAAUGGAACUCGACCAAAACAAUGAAAAUGACUUGGAAACACGUGGGGGAAAGAUGCCAUGGAGGAAACUUCCUGAAUCUCCUCAUUGCCCCCCAGCAAAAUGUGCCUAUAUGUAUGCAAUUGUUUAUAUGUGUAUUUCACACUACGUUGAGGAAAAAAAAUCGGAGUAUAUUGCUUGUAUGGAUGUCA